Phrynosoma platyrhinos (Desert horned lizard) is the source of this 73-nucleotide non-coding RNA. The record is from the annotation of a GenBank genome assembly. NCBI's taxonomy places the organism in Eukaryota, Metazoa, Chordata, Lepidosauria, Squamata, Phrynosomatidae.
GCCAGUGUGGUGUAGUGGUUUGAGUUUUGGACUAAGAGUCUGGAAGACCAGGGUUCGAAUCCCUGCUCAGCCA